RNAcentral lists this ribosomal RNA (274 nucleotides) under uncultured bacterium. RNAcentral describes it as "partial 16S ribosomal RNA". It matches the Rfam family "Bacterial small subunit ribosomal RNA", at positions 523 to 796 of the family's 1533-position model. The record is from RNAcentral.
AUACGGAGGGGGUUAGCGUUGUUCGGAAUUACUGGGCGUAAAGCGCACGUAGGCGGACUGGAAAGUUGGGGGUGAAAUCCCAGGGCUCAACCCUGGAACUGCCUCCAAAACUAACAGUCUAGAGUUCGAGAGAGGUGAGUGGAAUUCCAAGUGUAGAGGUGAAAUUCGUAGAUAUUUGGAGGAACACCAGUGGCGAAGGCGGCUCACUGGCUCGAUACUGACGCUGAGGUGCGAAAGCGUGGGGAGCAAACAGGAUUUGAUACCCCGGUAGUCC